GAUGAAGAACGCAGCGAAAUGCGAUAAGUAAUGUGAAUUGCAGAAUUCAGUGAAUCAUCGAAUCUUUGAACGCACAUUGCGCCCGCCAGUAUUCUGGCGGGCAUGCCUGUCCGAGCGUCAUUUCAACCCUCGAACCCCUCCGGGGGGUCGGCGUUGGGGAUCGGGAACCCCUAAGACGGGAUCCCGGCCCCGAAAUACAGUGGCGGUCUCGCCGCAGCCUCUCCUGCGCAGUAGUUUGCACAACUCGCACCGGGAGCGCGGCGCGUCCACGUCCGUAAAACACCCAACUUCUGAAAUGUUGACCUCGGAUCAGGUAGGGAUACCCGCUGAACUUAAGCAUAUCAAUAAGCGGAGGA
This 356-nucleotide unclassified non-coding RNA is filed under the name soil metagenome. RNAcentral describes it as "partial contains 5.8S ribosomal RNA, internal transcribed spacer 2, and large subunit ribosomal RNA". The stretch from base 1 to 120 matches the Rfam family "5.8S ribosomal RNA", at positions 35 to 154 of the family's 154-position model. The record is from RNAcentral.